AUCUAGCUGACGAGUCCCAAAUAGAACGAAACAUACGUCCUGGAU
Non-coding RNA from Schistosoma haematobium, 45 nucleotides. NCBI's taxonomy places the organism in Eukaryota, Metazoa, Platyhelminthes, Trematoda, Strigeidida, Schistosomatidae. The record is from Rfam.